UACGGGGGGGGCGAGCGUUGUUCGGAAUUACUGGGCGUAAAGGGCGCGUAGGCGGGCGGGUAAGUCUCUCGUGAAAGCCCACGGCUCAACCGUGGAAUUGCGGGAGAUACUACUUGUCUUGAGUCCGGGAGAGGAGUGUGGAAUUCCCAGUGUAGCGGUGAAAUGCGUAGAUAUUGGGAGGAACACCGGUGGCGAAGGCGGCACUCUGGACCGGAACUGACGCUGAGGCGCGAAAGCUAGGGGAGCAAACGGG
This 253-nucleotide ribosomal RNA is filed under the name uncultured bacterium. RNAcentral describes it as "partial 16S ribosomal RNA". It matches the Rfam family "Bacterial small subunit ribosomal RNA", at positions 524 to 776 of the family's 1533-position model. The record is from RNAcentral.